Small nuclear RNA from Neoarius graeffei (lesser salmon catfish), 191 nucleotides. RefSeq annotates it as U2 spliceosomal RNA. The transcript has a single exon. The record is from RefSeq and is a predicted model, not a curated record. NCBI's taxonomy places the organism in Eukaryota, Metazoa, Chordata, Actinopteri, Siluriformes, Ariidae.
GUUUCUUCUCUGAACUUAAGUCAUUGAUAUUAGUGUGGUAUUUGUUUUUAUUAGUUUAUUAUCUGAUGUGUUUUUUAUGAGGUUGUUUUAUCAGACAGAUUUUUAGAGCAGGGAGUUGGAAUUGGGGCUUGCUUCUUCUGCUCCACACAUCAGCCUGGUAUUGCAGUACUGCCAGGAAUAGUGCCCUUAUU